RNAcentral lists this ribosomal RNA (505 nucleotides) under uncultured bacterium. RNAcentral's name for it is "bacterial SSU rRNA". It matches the Rfam family "Bacterial small subunit ribosomal RNA", at positions 334 to 860 of the family's 1533-position model. The record is from RNAcentral.
UUUUCCUACGGGAGGCAGCAGUGGGGAAUCUUAGACAAUGGGCGCAAGCCUGAUCUAGCCAUGCCGCGUGAGUGAUGAAGGCCUUAGGGUCGUAAAGCUCUUUCGCCAGGGAUGAUAAUGACAGUACCUGGUAAAGAAACCCCGGCUAACUCCGUGCCAGCAGCCGCGGUAAUACGGAGGGGGCUAGCGUUGUUCGGAAUUACUGGGCGUAAAGCGCACGUAGGCGGAUCAGAAAGUAGGGGGUGAAAUCCCAGGGCUCAACCCUGGAACUGCCUUUUAAACUCUCGGUCUAGAGUUCGAGAGAGGUGAGUGGAAUUCCAAGUGUAGAGGUGAAAUUCGUAGAUAUUGGGAGGAACACCAGUGGCGAAGGCGGCUCACUGGCUCGAUACUGACGCUGAGGUGCGAAAGUGUGGGGAGCAAACAGGAUUAGAUACCCUGGUAGUCCCCCCCGCUCAUGAAUGCCAGUCGUCGGGGAGCAUGCCGUUCGGUGUCACACCUAACGGAU